ACUCAGGGGUUCUUUAGACUUGGCUGUGAUACCAUUCACAUACAAGAUUAAUCAGCUAAAGGAUUCAUCACAUAGGUAUAUGAAAAUUUAAAAUAAAAUAGUAGGUUUAUGUAGAAAAGAAAAAGAUAUUCACUUUAGCUGAUUCUUGCUUACAAUUUUCAUAGAUGAAUGACCAAUAAGAAUGGAAAGGAAGUAUGAGGACGAAAUAUGAGCUAUACCAGAAAGAUGAUCUCUAAGAGUGCCAUUUGACAUAAACUCAUAA
Molecule: unclassified non-coding RNA, 262 nt
Filed under: Hevea brasiliensis (rubber tree)
Lineage: Eukaryota; Viridiplantae; Streptophyta; Magnoliopsida; Malpighiales; Euphorbiaceae
Source: RNAcentral